Molecule: long non-coding RNA, 405 nt
Filed under: Nicotiana benthamiana
Lineage: Eukaryota; Viridiplantae; Streptophyta; Magnoliopsida; Solanales; Solanaceae
Description: long non-coding RNA (NBEN_LNC024646)
Source: RNAcentral
UAGCAAGUAACGAUCUAAAGUAUAUUUGAGAGAAAAUCAAAAGAUCUUAAAUUUUAGGGUUUCGAAGAACCCAGAAAAGGUGAGAAAGGCCUUGAAAGUUACCGACAUAACCAGAAGAGUCAAGGAUCUGACUCGAACGGCCAUGGCUAGCCGGAAAGGUCAUGGAUGACCGGAGAAAAGCCAUGAACAGCAGUCGAGGAAGGAGUGGACCAAAGUCCUUCAAAGUCUGGUCAUGAAACCAGAGGAACAAACAUAUAGGAGCCACGAAAGGCUGGUACAUGCCUCAAAUGACCAUGGAAGGUCAUAGAUUAGAUAUGUAUUAUGGUGGGGUGAGAGGGAAACGACUAGGGUUCAUGGAUGUUUCAGAGAGAAUUGAGAGGUAAGGGGAAUUCAAGGGUGGUUAUA